This 432-nucleotide ribosomal RNA is filed under the name uncultured bacterium. RNAcentral describes it as "partial 16S ribosomal RNA". It matches the Rfam family "Bacterial small subunit ribosomal RNA", at positions 29 to 506 of the family's 1533-position model. The record is from RNAcentral.
AACGAACGCUGGCGGCAUGCCUAACACAUGCAGGUCGAACGAGACCUUCGGGUCUAGUGGCGCACGGGUGCGUAACGCGUGGGAACCUGCCCUUAGGUUCGGAAUAACUCCCCGAAAGGGGUGCUAAUACCGGAUAAUGUCUUCGGACCAAAGAUUUAUCGCCUUUGGAUGGGCCCGCGUUGGAUUAGCUAGUUGGUAGGGUAAAAGCCUACCAAGGCGACGAUCCAUAGCUGGUCUGAGAGGAUGAUCAGCCACACUGGGACUGAGACACGGCCCAGACUCCUACGGGAGGCAGCAGUGGGGAAUAUUAGACAAUGGGCGAAAGCCUGAUCCAGCAAUGCCGCGUGAGUGAUGAAGGCCUUAGGGUUGUAAAGCUCUUUUACCCGGGAUGAUAAUGACAGUACCGGGAGAAUAAGCUCCGGCUAACUCCGU